Molecule: ribosomal RNA, 1522 nt
Filed under: metagenome
Description: bacterial SSU rRNA
Rfam family: Bacterial small subunit ribosomal RNA
Source: RNAcentral
AGAGUUUGAUCAUGGCUCAGAUUGAACGCUGGCGGCAGGCCUAACACAUGCAAGUCGAACGGUAACAGGAAGAAGCUUGCUUCUUUGCUGACGAGUGGCGGACGGGUGAGUAAUGUCUGGGAAACUGCCUGAUGGAGGGGGAUAACUACUGGAAACGGUAGCUAAUACCGCAUAACGUCGCAAGACCAAAGAGGGGGACCUUCGGGCCUCUUGCCAUCGGAUGUGCCCAGAUGGGAUUAGCUAGUAGGUGGGGUAACGGCUCACCUAGGCGACGAUCCCUAGCUGGUCUGAGAGGAUGACCAGCCACACUGGAACUGAGACACGGUCCAGACUCCUACGGGAGGCAGCAGUGGGGAAUAUUGCACAAUGGGCGCAAGCCUGAUGCAGCCAUGCCGCGUGUAUGAAGAAGGCCUUCGGGUUGUAAAGUACUUUCAGCGGGGAGGAAGGGAGUAAAGUUAAUACCUUUGCUCAUUGACGUUACCCGCAGAAGAAGCACCGGCUAACUCCGUGCCAGCAGCCGCGGUAAUACGGAGGGUGCAAGCGUUAAUCGGAAUUACUGGGCGUAAAGCGCACGCAGGCGGUUUGUUAAGUCAGAUGUGAAAUCCCCGGGCUCAACCUGGGAACUGCAUCUGAUACUGGCAAGCUUGAGUCUCGUAGAGGGGGGUAGAAUUCCAGGUGUAGCGGUGAAAUGCGUAGAGAUCUGGAGGAAUACCGGUGGCGAAGGCGGCCCCCUGGACGAAGACUGACGCUCAGGUGCGAAAGCGUGGGGAGCAAACAGGAUUAGAUACUCUGGUAGUCCACGCCGUAAACGAUGUCGACUUGGAGGUUGUGCCCUUGAGGCGUGGCUUCCGGAGCUAACGCGUUAAGUCGACCGCCUGGGGAGUACGGCCGCAAGGUUAAAACUCAAAUGAAUUGACGGGGGCCCGCACAAGCGGUGGAGCAUGUGGUUUAAUUCGAUGCAACGCGAAGAACCUUACCUGGUCUUGACAUCCACGGAAGUUUUCAGAGAUGAGAAUGUGCCUUCGGGAACCGUGAGACAGGUGCUGCAUGGCUGUCGUCAGCUCGUGUUGUGAAAUGUUGGGUUAAGUCCCGCAACGAGCGCAACCCUUAUCCUUUGUUGCCAGCGGUCCGGCCGGGAACUCAAAGGAGACUGCCAGUGAUAAACUGGAGGAAGGUGGGGAUGACGUCAAGUCAUCAUGGCCCUUACGACCAGGGCUACACACGUGCUACAAUGGCGCAUACAAAGAGAAGCGACCUCGCGAGAGCAAGCGGACCUCAUAAAGUGCGUCGUAGUCCGGAUUGGAGUCUGCAACUCGACUCCAUGAAGUCGGAAUCGCUAGUAAUCGUGGAUCAGAAUGCCACGGUGAAUACGUUCCCGGGCCUUGUACACACCGCCCGUCACACCAUGGGAGUGGGUUGCAAAAGAAGUAGGUAGCUUAACCUUCGGGAGGGCGCUUACCACUUUGUGAUUCAUGACUGGGGUGAAGUCGUAACAAGGUAACCGUAGGGGAACCUGCGGUUG